GUUCAGAUAUCUCCCUAUGAAAGAGACAGAUAAGGAGAAGUGAAACCGAUAUGGAGAUUACAGUCGAUGCAAGGAGAGAAGUAAAAGCCAGCAGAUAGUGAUGCUGUGCCUUUCUCCCUCCCUCUAAACCCUCCAGGCUCUUCACCAUCAUACGAAGAGACAAUGAUGAACUCAAGAAGCCUAUUUAUAGCCUGCCAUUGGCUAACACUAGCCCUCUGUUUCUGCUCUGUGGACAUCCGCCUUGGCUAGUUGUAGAGUAUGUGUACAUGUGAUUAGGCUCAUAACAGAGAGGGAAACAAGAGGAAGAGAGGGGUGGAGUGACAGCUACUCAAUGGAUUAAUCCAGAGGAAGAGCACAGACUGAGAGGGAAAGCAUGAUAAGAGGCAAUGACGGAACUGGGCUGUGGUCCAUCCAUCAGUGUGUGGAGGAGUAGUGAUUGCUCUUGAAGUCUCAUGGAGGAAUUUGGUCCUUUUUUAAAAAAUAUCACCUGACUUAAAUCCAGCACUUCUUUGCUAAUGAUCUUGCUUUUGGCAACAUUUCUUGCAGAAGCCUUGCCAGUUAUCAGGUGAGGAGGAAGAGAUCUCAGAGCAGUGACUGUCAACAACCAUGAGCAGCGGAGUGAAUAUCAAAGUCAUAUCUCGGAGGCAGAGUGACGCAGGUGUCAGCUCCAGUCUGCCGUCACCUCGAAGCACGAUGUCGGUCUCAAAGGCAGAUCCCAAAGAGCAAUACGGUGGCCUCCCUAAUCCCACAAUGCAGUAUCAGCACAGCGCAAAACGACGGCCUACAUAUUCUUCACUGUCUGCUUCUUCAGGCACUGCAGAGCGGCUGAGAGGUGCCGCUUUAAAGAACAACCUGCUGCACCAAAAGACUAGCAUGUAUUCACAGAGAAGCUCAGCAGCUGCAGCACGAACUGAUGGAACCUGCUCAGCUUACAGCAGCCCUCAGAUACCAAAGAGGGAAAUUCCACGCUCUAAAGACACAUCAGACAUCUGCAGCGACACAAUAACCCAGAAAGCUUUGAGAGACCUUCAGUUAAGAAGAAACACUAACAAGAACUGGACCUUUGGAAAGUAUCGUCAGAGGAGUGUGGACAAUGCACAAGAGGGUAACACUUUGCGACACCGCCCACCAAAUCCUCAGGUAGGCUACGGAAGAGGACGUCUUCUUUAUAGUAAAAAUGCAAAUGGCAAUGAGAUACCAGGGGUAUCUUCAGCUGGAAUAGAGAACUUCCAAAAAGAAGUGAGGAACAUCUCCAACCAUGACCUGGAAGCUUCUGACAGGGAGCUUUUCAACAAAUCAAAGUCUUCCCAUCAAACAUUCAACCUGGCACGCAGAGGGAGUGAGCCAGGAAAGGUCAACAUGGCUGCUGUUGCUCCAUUUAGAUUCAGGUUUAAGAUUCACGAGGAUACAGAUACCUCUCUGGAUGAUCUCAGUGACUGCUCCUCUGACUCCAUGGAGGUCUGUUGUGAUGAUCUAGGUGAGUCUUUUUGAAAUUCUUUCCAUUAUUCUUUCUAGUGUGGGAACACUGGACACAUCUGUUGUUAUAAAGCAUUUGUUCUUAAUGUGAGAUCUUGCACCUCUAAGGAGUUACCAAAUAACUUUGGAGGGUCAUAGACUUUGGAAUUUCU
Long non-coding RNA from Oreochromis niloticus (Nile tilapia), 1628 nucleotides. The record is from Ensembl. NCBI's taxonomy places the organism in Eukaryota, Metazoa, Chordata, Actinopteri, Cichliformes, Cichlidae.